Molecule: non-coding RNA, 1059 nt
Organism: Heterocephalus glaber (naked mole-rat)
Lineage: Eukaryota; Metazoa; Chordata; Mammalia; Rodentia; Bathyergidae
Source: RefSeq, a predicted model, not a curated record
CCCCAACCACAAGUUACUUAGUUCACAGGGGUUUUCACAAAGACAACAUCCUGGAAGUGGAAACUACAGCUUCCUUUACAGUAGCUCUUAUCCCUAAACCUAUGAAACCCUGAAACCCUGAAACCCACUGUUCCCAUGGCAUCCUGACAAGAGUCCACCACCUGCUGCUGCAGAACACCAACAGCCAGGGAAGCAGGGCCACAGAAACAAAACUCAUCUUCCCAUCUUCUCCAGGUCCUGACACCACUUGGAUAACCUCUAUCCAAACCCACUGCACUUGCUUAACAUCCAUUUCUUGAAAUGCUCAUGGAAAACACCUAACAGCUGCUUAUUGUCCUUUGGCUCAAUUCCCUCUGAGAGGGCUAGAGGACCCUUUUUGAUUUUCUGUUUUGUUUUGAACCCAGGACUUUCUACUAACAUACAUUCCAGGGCCUUUUCAAUUUGAGAUUCAAGAUAGGGUCUUGCUAAGUUGCCCCGGCUGGGCUCAAACUUGUGAUCCUCCUGCCUCAGACUCCUGUCAAAAUAAUGACAGGUGUGUCCAGAACUCAGAGCAUCCUUGGACCAUUUACUCACAAUGGCUGGGUAACUGACAAUAAGCCAGAGGCUAUUUGGUCAUCAGGCUGCAAGAAAACUAGCUGCCUUUGGACUGUAGCACAGGUAACCUCUGUCCCAAAGAUUUAAACAACCAGACUCAGUUCUACCUCUGCUGCCCCAAACCAAGAUCAAUGGAGUGAGGAAGUCAGCUGAGAGGCCCCAACAAACACCUCAGUAAGAGUUAAGCACAUCUGGCACCCAAACCAUGGUUUCACAACACCACUUUCCAAUAACCAGGCUCCCAGGAGAAAUGGCUGAUUGUAAGGCUGAGCCAAAAGUAUAUAAGGAGGCCGCGGAGCCCCGCAGACCCCGUGCUGGGCAGAGAAGCCGCACACUAUGGCUGCCACCCCACAGCGCGCGCAAUCCGGCGCAGGGGGACCACAGUUCGCGCGCCACAGCCCACAUGCCUCGGAGAUAGCUGGAACACAGGCAGGCGCGGGGUACGACGGGAUGCGUGGGCGGAGC